Molecule: ribosomal RNA, 253 nt
Filed under: uncultured bacterium
Lineage: Bacteria
Description: partial 16S ribosomal RNA
Rfam family: Bacterial small subunit ribosomal RNA
Source: RNAcentral
UACAGAGGUCCCGAGCGUUGUUCGGAUUCACUGGGCGUAAAGGGUGCGUAGGUGGCCAUGCAAGUUCGAUGUGAAAUCUCCGGGCUUAACCCGGAAAAGGCAUUGAAAACUCUGUGGCUGGAGGUUUGGAGGGGGGACUGGAAUUCCCAGUGUAGCGGUGAAAUGCGUAGAUAUUGGGAGGAACACCAGUGGCGAAGGCGGCUCACUGGACCGGAACUGACGCUGAGGCGCGAAAGCGUGGGGAGCAAACGGG